GGCACGGUGGUGCAGUGGGUAGCACUGUCGCCUCACAGGAAGAAGGUUGUGGGUUCGAUUCUCGGCUUGGGGCC
This 74-nucleotide transfer RNA is filed under the name Anguilla anguilla (European eel). RNAcentral describes it as "tRNA-OTHER". The record is from RNAcentral. Lineage: Eukaryota; Metazoa; Chordata; Actinopteri; Anguilliformes; Anguillidae.